CAAUAGCGUAUAUUUAAGUUGUUGCAGUUAAAAAGCUCGUAGUUGGAUUUCGGAUGGGAUUUGCCGGUCCGUCGUUACGAUGUGCACUGGCCAGUCCUAUCUUGUUGUCGGGGACUAGCUCCUUGGAUUCACUUCCUGGGACUAGGAGCUGACGAGGUUACUUUGAGUAAAUUAGAGUGUUCAAAGCAAGCCUACGCUCUGAAUACAUUAACAUGGAAUAACACGAUAGGACUCUGGCUUAUCUUGUUGGUCUGUGAGACCAGAGUAAUGAUUAAGAGGGACAGUCGGGGACAUUCGUAUUUCAUUGUCAGAGGUGAAAUUCUUGGAUUUAUGAAAGACGAACUUCUGCGAAAGCAUUUGUCAAGGAUGUUUUCAUUAA
RNAcentral lists this ribosomal RNA (379 nucleotides) under uncultured eukaryote. Its description in RNAcentral is "partial 18S ribosomal RNA". It matches the Rfam family "Eukaryotic small subunit ribosomal RNA", at positions 592 to 976 of the family's 1831-position model. The record is from RNAcentral.